UCCUACGGGGGGCAGCAGUGAGGAAUAUUGGUCAAUGGACGCAAGUCUGAACCAGCCAUGCCGCGUGCAGGAAGACGGCUCUAUGAGUUGUAAACUGCUUUUGUACGAGGGUAAACGCAGAUACGUGUAUCUGUCUGAAAGUAUCGUACGAAUAAGGAUCGGCUAACUCCGUGCCAGCAGCCACGGUAAUACGGAGGAUUCAAGCGUUAUCCGGAUUUAUUGGGUUUAAAGGGUGCGUAGGCGGGUUAUCAAGUCAGCGGUAAAAUCGUGGAGCUCAACUCCAUCCAGCCGUUGAAACUGAUGAU
Molecule: ribosomal RNA, 305 nt
Filed under: uncultured bacterium
Lineage: Bacteria
Description: bacterial SSU rRNA
Rfam family: Bacterial small subunit ribosomal RNA
Source: RNAcentral